This 71-nucleotide transfer RNA is filed under the name Streptantibioticus rubrisoli. RNAcentral's name for it is "tRNA-Arg". It matches the Rfam family "tRNA". From Rfam's summary of the family: Transfer RNA (tRNA) molecules are approximately 80 nucleotides in length. Their secondary structure includes four short double-helical elements and three loops (D, anti-codon, and T loops). Lineage: Bacteria; Bacillati; Actinomycetota; Actinomycetes; Kitasatosporales; Streptomycetaceae. The record is from RNAcentral.
GCCUGGGAAAACGCGCGAGAACCCGACGGCCUCCGGAGCCGUGUGCGCAGGUUCGAAUCCUGCCGGGGGCA